Molecule: ribosomal RNA, 882 nt
Filed under: uncultured bacterium
Lineage: Bacteria
Description: bacterial SSU rRNA
Rfam family: Bacterial small subunit ribosomal RNA
Source: RNAcentral
AGAGUUUGAUCAUGGCUCAGGAUGAACGCUGGCGGCGUGCCUAACACAUGCAAGUCGAACGGUCCUUCGGGACAGUGGCGCACGGGUGAGUAACACGUAGCUAACCUGCCUUCGAGAGGGGGAUAACGCCCCGAAAGGGGUGCUAAUACCGCGUACGCUCGCGCGAUGUAGAGGCGCGCGAGGAAAGGCGCAAGCCGCUCGAAGAGGGGGCUGCGGCCCAUCAGGUAGUUGGUAGGGUAACGGCCUACCAAGCCAACGACGGGUAGGGGGUCUGAGAGGAUGGUCCCCCACACUGGGACUGAGACACGGCCCAGACUCCUACGGGAGGCAGCAGUGAGGGAUCUUGCACAAUGGGGGAAACCCUGAUGCAGCGACGCCGCGUGGGCGAAGAAGGCCUUCGGGUCGUAAAGCCCUUUUCUGGGUGACGAGGAAGGACGGUAGCCCAGGGAGAAGUCUCGGCUAACUACGUGCCAGCAGCCGCGGUAAAACGUAGGAGGCAAGCGUUAUCCGGAGUUACUGGGCGUAAAGCGCGCGCAGGCGGUUAGGCAAGUUGGGUGUGAAAGCUCCCGGCUAAACCGGGAGAGUGCAUUCAAGACUGCCUGGCUAGAGGACGGUAGAGGGGCGCAGAAUUCGGGGUGUAGCGGUGAAAUGUGUAGAGAUCCCGAGGAAUACCAGUGGGGAAGCCGGCGCCCUGGGCCGAACCUGACGCUGAGGCGCGACAGCGUGGGGAGCGAACGGGAUUAGAGACCCCGGUAGUCCACGCCGUAAACGAUGCAGACUGGGUGUUCACUUGCCUGCGGGCGAGGGAGUGCCGAAGCAAACGCGCUAAGUCUGCCGCCUGGGGAGUACGGUCGCAAGGCUAAAACUCAAAGGAAUUGACGG